This 405-nucleotide ribosomal RNA is filed under the name uncultured bacterium. Its description in RNAcentral is "bacterial SSU rRNA". It matches the Rfam family "Bacterial small subunit ribosomal RNA", at positions 30 to 438 of the family's 1533-position model. The record is from RNAcentral.
AUUGAACGCUGGCGGCAUGCCUUACACAUGCAAGUCGAACGGCAGCACGGGAGCAAUCCUGGUGGCGAGUGGCGAACGGGUGAGUAAUAUAUCGGAACGUGCCCGGUCGUGGGGAUAACGUAGCGAAAGCUACGCUAAUACCGCAUACGAUCUAUGGAUGAAAGCGGGGGAUCGCAAGACCUCGCGCGAUUGGAGCGGCCGAUAUCAGAUUAGGUAGUUGGUGAGGUAAAGGCUCACCAAGCCGACGAUCUGUAGCUGGUCUGAGAGGACGACCAGCCACACUGGGACUGAGACACGGCCCAGACUCCUACGGGAGGCAGCAGUGGGGAAUUUUGGACAAUGGGCGCAAGCCUGAUCCAGCAAUGCCGCGUGCAGGAUGAAGGCCUCGGUUGGUUAACGUAGUCG